Molecule: ribosomal RNA, 219 nt
Filed under: uncultured Methanoculleus sp.
Lineage: Archaea; Methanobacteriati; Methanobacteriota; Methanomicrobia; Methanomicrobiales; Methanomicrobiaceae
Description: partial 16S ribosomal RNA
Rfam family: Archaeal small subunit ribosomal RNA
Source: RNAcentral
GGAGGAAGGGAAUGGGCAACGGUAGGUCAGCAUGCCCCGAAUUAUCCGGGCUACACGCGGGCUACAAUGGUCAGGACAAUGGGCAUCAACACCGAAAGGUGAAGGCAAUCUCUUAAACCUGUCCUUAGUUCGGAUCGUGGGCUGCAACUCGCCCACAUGAAGCUGGAAUCCGUAGUAAUCGCGUUUCAAAAUAGCGCGGUGAAUAUGUCCCUGCUCCUU